UACAGAGGUCCCGAGCGUCGUUCGGAUUCACUGGGCGUAAAGGGUGCGUAGGUGGUGGGGUAAGUCGGAUGUGAAAUCUCGGAGCUCAACUCCGAAAUGGCAUUGGAAACUACCCUGCUGGAGGGUCGGAGGGGGGACUGGAAUACUUGGUGUAGCAGUGAAAUGCGUAGAUAUCAAGUGGAACACCAGUGGCGAAGGCGAGUCCCUGGACGACUCCUGACACUGAGGCACGAAAGCCAGGGGAGCAAACGGG
This 253-nucleotide ribosomal RNA is filed under the name uncultured bacterium. Its description in RNAcentral is "partial 16S ribosomal RNA". It matches the Rfam family "Bacterial small subunit ribosomal RNA", at positions 524 to 776 of the family's 1533-position model. The record is from RNAcentral.